RNAcentral lists this ribosomal RNA (369 nucleotides) under uncultured bacterium. RNAcentral's name for it is "bacterial SSU rRNA". It matches the Rfam family "Bacterial small subunit ribosomal RNA", at positions 527 to 896 of the family's 1533-position model. The record is from RNAcentral.
GUAGGUGGCAAGCGUUGUCCGGAAUUACUGGGUGUAAAGGGAGCGUAGGCGGGAGUGCAAGUCGGCUGUCUAAACUAUGGGCUCAACCCAUAAUCGCGGCCGAAACUGUAUUUCUUGAGUGAAGUAGAGGUAAGCGGAAUUCCUAGUGUAGCGGUGAAAUGCGUAAAUAUUAGGAGGAACACCAGUGGCGAAGGCGGCUUACUGGGCUUUAACUGACGCUGAGGCUCGAAAGCGUGGGUAGCAAACAGGAUUAGAUACCCUGGUAGUCCACGCCGUAAACGAUGAUUACUAGGUGUGGGGGGACUGACCCCUUCCGUGCCGGAGUUAACACAAUAAGUAAUCCACCUGGGGAGUACGACCGCAAGGUUG